UACGGAGGGUGCGAGCGUUGUCCGGAAUCACUGGGCGUAAAGGGCGCGUAGGCGGCAUGCCAAGCGUGUGGUGAAAGCCCGGGGCUCAACCCCGGGUCGGCCGUGCGGACUGGCGUGCUCGAGCACUGUAGGGGCGGGUGGAAUUCCGGGUGUAGCGGUGGAAUGCGUAGAGAUUGGGAAGAACACCAGUGGCGAAGGCGGCUAUCUGGACGGUUUCUGACGCUAAGACGCGAAAGCGUGGGGAGCAAACAGG
RNAcentral lists this ribosomal RNA (253 nucleotides) under uncultured bacterium. RNAcentral's name for it is "partial 16S ribosomal RNA". It matches the Rfam family "Bacterial small subunit ribosomal RNA", at positions 524 to 776 of the family's 1533-position model. The record is from RNAcentral.